Molecule: ribosomal RNA, 926 nt
Filed under: uncultured Bacteroidota bacterium
Lineage: Bacteria; Pseudomonadati; Bacteroidota
Description: bacterial SSU rRNA
Rfam family: Bacterial small subunit ribosomal RNA
Source: RNAcentral
UGGAUCCAGACUUUGAUCAUGGCUCAGGAUGAACGCUAGCUACAGGCUUAACACAUGCAAGUCGAGGGGAAACGACAUCGAAAGCUUGCUUUUGAUGGGCGUCGACCGGCGCACGGGUGAGUAACGCGUAUCCAACCUGCCCACCACUUGGGGAUAACCUUGCGAAAGUAAGACUAAUACCCAAUGAUAUCUCUAGAAGGCAUCAGAAAGAGAUUAAAGAUUUAUCGGUGAUGGAUGGGGAUGCGUCUGAUUAGCUUGUUGGCGGGGUAACGGCCCACCAAGGCGACGAUCAGUAGGGGUUCUGAGAGGAAGGUCCCCCACAUUGGAACUGAGACACGGUCCAAACUCCUACGGGAGGCAGCAGUGAGGAAUAUUGGUCAAUGGGCGAGAGCCUGAACCAGCCAAGUAGCGUGCAGGACGACGGCCCUAUGGGUUGUAAACUGCUUUUAUAAGGGAAUAAAGUGAGUCUCGUGAGACUUUUUGCAUGUACCUUAUGAAUAAGGACCGGCUAAUUCCGUGCCAGCAGCCGCGGUAAUACGGAAGGUCCGGGCGUUAUCCGGAUUUAUUGGGUUUAAAGGGAGCGUAGGCCGGAGAUUAAGCGUGUUGUGAAAUGUAGGGGCUCAACCUCUGCACUGCAGCGCGAACUGGUCUUCUUGAGUACGCACAACGUGGGCGGAAUUCGUGGUGUAGCGGUGAAAUGCUUAGAUAUCACGAAGAACUCCGAUUGCGAAGGCAGCUCACGGGAGCGCAACUGACGCUGAAGCUCGAAAGUGCGGGUAUCGAACAGGAUUAGAUACCCUGGUAGUCCGCACGGUAAACGAUGGAUGCCCGCUGUUGGCCUGAAUAGGUCAGCGGCCAAGCGAAAGCAUUAAGCAUCCCACCUGGGGAGUACGCCGGCAACGGUGCAACUCAAAGGAAUUGACGGA